UUGGAAGACGAAGAAACAACUUGAGGCCCAACAGAACCAUUGGUCUCAGGCCUAUUACAUCAAAAAAACUAAAAGCAAAACCGGCCUCACUAUAAUGUUUGAUAGUGAAUACCUCCUAACAAAACAAUUAAAAACGUAACUUAAUGGAAACGGAAAGUAAUAAAUGAAAUUGAGAAAAAAGGAACUUAAAUAUCUACCCUAGUCAACUCAAAAAAUUGGAUACCAUUAAUUCUCUCGAUUUGUCAUUUCGAAAUCCAAUUCGUUCUGACGAUAGCGGUUUCCAAGGAUAAGACUUUACUUGCUAUCUACUUUUGAAAUCAGUUUCCCUCAAAAUGCUCCUUCAAUCUGGACUUCUUGACCAUCAUCCCUCCGAAGUGAAAACAUGGCGAUUCAAUUCUUCUCCCACCAGGUAAGAGGUCUCUCCUCUAUCUAAAGUGUCCUUUGCUAGUCUAUGUGCUUGCGAGUUCCCUAAUCUGUGAAUAUGCUUAAAGAUAAUCUCUUGAAAGCAAGGUUUCUUAUUCUGAAUAUCACUGAUAAUUGCUCCAAUCACUGAUUUGUCUGUUAAAGUUGUUUGGCAUUUUUUUGUUAUUGAUUUGGAGUCCCCUAUAAGUUUAACCGAUUGCAUUCCCAUUGAGAUCCCUAUCUUUGUGGCUUCUAAACAUGCAUACGCUUCUGCUGCAAAUGGGGAGGAAACAUUGUUGUGUAAGGUCGACUUUAAGAUCAGAAGUUCCCCCAUCAGAUCCCAAACCACCAGACUUGUCGCUGAUUUGAAGUUUCUACUGUCGAACGCUACAUUAAGCUGAAUUUUCAUUCUCUGUAUAUCCUCCUGAAUUCUAUAAUUUCUGUUCGAAUUAAAAGGGAUCUUCAUUACUCUUACUCCUUUGUAUUCUGCCAUAUGCCUCUAUAUGUUUUGUGUUAGAUCUCUUUCUAUUGUAUUUUUCCCCUCAUGCAUGAGUUGAUUUCUGGAAAAACCAGAUUAACCAUAAAGCAUAACAGAAAAUUCGACAUUGAACGUUAUUACUUCUCUUGAAUACCCAGGUUAGCCACUUCCAUAGACUUUGAUUCAUAUUAUUAAUGAUCCAAGAUAAAUGUAAAAACUGCCAAACUUCUGUUGUUAUAAGGUAUUCACGGAAGAUAUGAACACUAUAGCGGGGACAUCUGCCGUUUGAAAUGACUCUUUUGUAUCUGAGAUUAGCUAGAUUAGGAAUAAAAUCCCAGGAAAUUUUCCAAAUGGUGAUUGUGAUUUUUGAAGGUAACUGUAGGUUCCAUAGUUUCCUGUAAAAUUCUUUGAUUUCGGUCUGUAUUAAAUAAUUAUAGGAUUCAGAGUAGCAUCUUGUAAUAGUUUAUAGGCACUACGUACUGAAUACUCGCUGGAUGGUUCUCCUUUCCAAACUUGAAUAUCCUCGUGUUCAGUCUCUACAAGAGGAAUCUGCAUAAUUUUCUGAGCAAUUUUUGCUUGAAAGGCACUAUUAAUCAAAUCUGUCCUCCAUUUUUUGUUUGAAGCAUCGAUAAGAUCCGAUACUAACUUUAACUCCCCAUUGUUUGAUCUAUUGUGCCCUUCAACUUUAUCGAUCCUCUGAAUCCAACUAUCGUCCCAAAUCAAAAUUUUAUCCCCACUGCCCACUCUCCAGCACAUCUCUUUUUGGAUGAGUCCCUUUGCUGCCCAAAUACUUUUUCAUGUGAGUGAAGGUAAAUCUCCCAACUCUACAUUUAAAAAACUUAAUUGCGGAUAGUAUUUUACUUUUAAAACUCUGGCUUAUAAAGAAUUUGGAUAAUUAAUAAGGCGCCAACCUUGUUUGGCUAAUAAUGCGAUAUUGAAUUGACCAAAGUUUCGAUAACCUAAACCACCAUUUUCUUUUAAAAAACAAAGGUUUUUCCAAGUACACCAAUGAAUUCCCCUUUUUCCAUGUCCCUCCUGCCACCAGAACCUCACAACGAUACUUUCGAGUUCAUCACAUAGAGCUUUAGGUAAUAAGAAACAAGCCAUCGUGUAAGUUGGUAUAGCCUGAAGAAUGGCCUUUAUAAAUACUUCUUUUCCACCCUGAGAUAAAUACCUAUUACUCCAGUUAUCAAUACAUUUUUUUAGUCGAUCUUUCAAAUUUUGAAAAGAUUUUUUUUUCUCUGACCCACCAUAUUCGGAAAUCCUAGGUAACGUUCUGGUUCAUUCGAACAGUGGACCCCAAUAAAUUGACAACCAAUCUUUUAUCUUUCUCCGGUGUGUUUUUGCUAAAGAAUACUAUUGAUUUGUCGAAAUUAACACAUUGACCCAAACAAGAUUUGUAUUCGCUUAGGAUGUCUUUAAAUAGAUUUGCUCCCCUGCUUAUUGCCUUCCCAAAUAAUAUGCAAUCAUCGAUGAAUAAUAGAUGGGAUACCUGUGGGCCACUUCUACUUACCUUAACACCUUUUAAAAACCUUCCAUUCGUCGCAAGUCUCAGUAGGCUCAAUAGACCCUCACCAUACACAAGAAAUAAGAACAGACUUAACGGAUCACCUUGUCUGAGUCCUCUGGUUGGUAGAAACUUAUCACCAAUAUUCCCAUUAAUGACUACUGAAUAUGAAACAGUUGUAACAUAUUUAAUAAGAGUGUCUAUCCAUCUUUGAGCAAACCCCAUUCGUAUCAUUAUCUCUUUUAUAAAAUUCCAUUCAACCCUAUCAUAUUUUUUACUCACAUAGAGCUUUAGGUAAUAAGAAACAAGCCAUCGUGUAAGUUGGUAUAGCCUGAAGAAUGGCCUUUAUAAAUACUUCUUUUCCACCCUGAGAUAAAUACCUAUUACUCCAGUUAUCAAUACAUUUUUUUAGUCGAUCUUUCAAAUUUUGAAAAGAUUCUUUUUUCUCUGACCCACCAUAUUCAGAAAUCCUAGGUAACGUUCUGGUUCAUUCGAACAGUGGACCCCAAUAAAUUGACAACCAAUCUUUUAUCUUUCUCCGGUGUGUUUUUGCUAAAGAAUACUAUUGAUUUGUCGAAAUUAACACAUUGACCCAAACAAGAUUUGUAUUCGCUUAAGAUGUCUUUAAAUAGAUUUGCUCCCCUGCUUAUUGCCUUCCCAAAUAAUAUGCAAUCAUCGAUGAAUAAUAGAUGGGAUACCUGUGGGCCACUUCUACUUACCUUAACACCUUUUAAAAACCUUCCAUUCGUCGCAAGUCUCAGUAGGCUCAAUAGACCCUCACCAUACACAAGAAAUAAGAACAGACUUAACGGAUCACCUUGUCUGAGUCCUCUGGUUGGUAGAAACUUAUCACCAAUAUUCCCAUUAAUGACUACUGAAUAUGAAACAGUUGUAACAUAUUUAAUAAGAGUGUCUAUCCAUCUUUGAGCAAACCCCAUUCGUAUCAUUAUCUCUUUUAUAAAAUUCCAUUCAACCCUAUCAUAUUUUUUACUCACAUAGAGCUUUAGGUAAUAAGAAACAAGCCAUCGUGUAAGUUGGUAUAGCCUGAAGAAUGGCCUUUAUAAAUACUUCUUUUCCACCCUGAGAUAAAUACCUAUUACUCCAGUUAUCAAUACAUUUUUUUAGUCGAUCUUUCAAAUUUUGAAAAGAUUCUUUUUUCUCUGACCCACCAUAUUCGGAAAUCCUAGGUAACGUUCUGGUUCAUUCGAACAGUGGACCCCAAUAAAUUGACAACCAAUCUUUUAUCUUUCUCCGGUGUGUUUUUGCUAAAGAAUACUAUUGAUUUGUCGAAAUUAACACAUUGACCCAAACAAGAUUUGUAUUCGCUUAGGAUGUCUUUAAAUAGAUUUGCUCCCCUGCUUAUUGCCUUCCCAAAUAAUAUGCAAUCAUCGAUGAAUAAUAGAUGGGAUACCUGUGGGCCACUUCUACUUACCUUAACACCUUUUAAAAACCUUCCAUUCGUCGCAAGUCUCAGUAGGCUCAAUAGACCCUCACCAUACACAAGAAAUAAGAACAGACUUAACGGAUCACCUUGUCUGAGUCCUCUGGUUGGUAGAAACUUAUCACCAAUAUUCCCAUUAAUGACUACUGAAUAUGAAACAGUUGUAACAUAUUUAAUAAGAGUGUCUAUCCAUCUUUGAGCAAACCCCAUUCGUAUCAUUAUCUCUUUUAUAAAAUUCCAUUCAACCCUAUCAUAUUUUUUACUCAUAUCGAGUUUUACGGCCAUAUACCCUUUCUCCCCCAAUCUCUUCUGUUCUAACAUAUGCAAUAUUUCAUAGGCUAACAACACAUUAUCUGAUAUUAAUCGACUUGGCACAAAGGCACUCUACGCAUCAUCAAUACAUUUUCCAAUAACUUCUCGAAACUGAUUUGCUAUUACCUUUGCUAGAAUUUAUAAAGCAUAUUACAUAGGCUAAUCGGUCGAAGCUACGUCAUAUUAGAAGGACUGGUAACUUUUGGAAUAAGUACUAUAUUAGUGGAGCUAAUUGAACUAACCUCCAUAUCCCCAUUGAGAAUUCGUAAGCAAAAGGAGGUGACUUCUUCUCCAACAAUAUGCCAGUAUUUCUGAUAAAAUAGAGCUGGGAAUCUGUCUUCCCCUGGUGCCUUCAUAGGUCCCAUGUCAAACAUUGCUUAUUUAAUUUCCUCUUUUGUGUAUUUUGCUGUAAGUUUUUGAUUGUCUUCCUUAUAUACACACACCGUUCGAUCCCUGAUAACAGAUGGUCAUAGUUCCCCCUAUCUCCUGCUGAAAACAGUCUUUGAAAAUAAGAUCGUUCAAUACCCUCUAUUUCCUGCAAGGCCACCAUUUUUCUUCCACCUUCAUUUUGUCGCUUAUGAAUAAGAUUUGUCCUCUGUUGCUGUGUUGCUUAACUGUGAAAAAAUGUUGUGUUUUUAUCGCCAAAUUUCAACCAGUUUAGUCUAGCCCUUUGUUCCCAAUAACAUUCAUCCUUUUCAAUCUCAAAAAUUAAAUUAAUUUUCGUAUCAAUCAUCUCAGCUAAAUUUUUAUCAUCUCUUUCAGCUUUAGACAACUCAACUAAUUUUUCCAUUAGAAUCUAUUUUUUCUUUUUCCUAUUCAUUUGGAUUUGCCCAGCCGACUACUUGAAUCCUUUUUUUAAAAAAAUUUUCCAACUUCUGUAGCAGCUUCCCUGAAGACUUCUCCCAUAAACAUUUAACUUCAUUAAUGAAAGAAUCCUCUAAAGACCACCAAGCUUCAAAUUUGAAAAUAUUGUUCCUUAAUCGUUCUUCAAACACUCUUGUAUUAAUUAGAAGAGGGCAAUGAUCUGAAAAAGAAUGCACUAGGUGUUGAACUUUCACCUCUGGGAGCAUAACAAUCCAUUCUAUGUUGGCGGUACCUCUGUCCAAUUGUUCUUAUAUGUUCGUCUUCAUUAAAUUUCCUCUCUCCCAAGUGAACCAAUUACCAGAAAAACCCACGUCAUUCAGUUGACAUUCCUCCAGUGUUCUUCGAAAGGGUUCUAUCCUUCUUUCAUCUCUAGGCAGCCCUCAUUUUUUUGAAAUCCAUACAUAAUUUUAUUGAAAUCUCCACAAACAAACCAAGGGGUAUCCACAUCAGUAGCUAAGCUUUUCAAAACAGCCCAUGAAUCGUUCCUAUCUUGUACAUAAGAGGAUCUAUAGAAUCCUCCAAUUGGUUUCUGUUUCCUUGUCUUCAACUACCAUAUCAAUGUCUUUUAUAAAAAUUACGAAGUACUAUAUUAACAUUAAUCCUCCAUGCUAGACACAAUCUUCCUCUCGUACCUUCUGAAUCAACUUCAAUUCCAUUCACAAAACCACAACUUCUACGAACUCGUUCCAUCUGUCUUCUACAAAGCUUUGUUUCUAUAAAGAAGACUAUUUGGGGAUUAUAUAUCUUUAGCAAAUGCCGAAGUCUUUUUAUCGUCUGUGGUCUCCCUAAGCCACGGACAUUCCAGCUUAUGAUUUUCAUUGCACCCGGUUGGUUUGCCUCUUGGCAGUCGUCAAUGAUAAAAAAUUAAAUUCCACUAUUUUUCUACUCAUUGUCAUUUCAUUAACACUCUCUUCUUUUCCUAUUGGGUCUUCCAUCUUCCUCCUGUUUCACUUUUUCCCCUCCUCUCCUACUAAGAUACCAUAUUCCAAAUCAUGCUCCAUGGCCGUUUGCAUCUGAUCUGUCCAAAAUUUUUCCUUCUGUUGAUCAAGAGAUGACGUUCCCCUUCUAUGUUAAAUCCCAGAAUUGGAUCAAUGGCUUUUCCACUUUUUUCUUUGUUAUCCCCAUCCCAUGAUCUGAACCCCAAAAACUACUUAUCCGUCCAAUAUCCUUCCUAUUUUCCUUAACCUUCUUCUCGUAGCCAUAUACUAUUCAUUGAUAGAGCUCUUCGAGAUUAUGCUCGCAAUGAUAAAUCCCAACCCAUUUCAGCAAUAUCCACUCCUAACAUCAUUUUUGCCCCACAGAAAGAGUCACUAUGCCCCAAACGUCCGCAAUAGAAACAGAAAAACAAUAAUCAUUCAUACUUAAAUUUAACAUACGAGCAUCUCCCGCAACACAUAACCUGCUUCUUUCUUUUCAAAGGCCACCUAAUAUCAAUCUGUACCCUUACUUUCGUGUAAUUACGAUUUUCCUUUCCCAGGUUUGAUUCAUCAUAUUCCAAGAAAACCCCUAUAAAAUUACCCAAUUGUAUUGCUAAAUUUUCGGAGAAUAGACCUAUUGGGACGUCAUGAAUUUGUACCCAAAAAGAGUAAAAGUUAAUGGUACUUUUAAUGGAUCAUCCUCCCUUUUCAAUUUAUAAAGUACCAACAAAUGAUUAUUAAAAGUCCAUGGUUAGCCUUUCAAAACCUUCUCUAUAUCCAUACUGUGAAAAAAUUGAAAAAGAUACAUUUUUCCCCUAGAUAUCGAAUUUGAACCCUACGAACAGGAUGCCACAGGUUUGCCAUAGUGCUUUUCAUAGCUGAGAAGUGAAUUAUACUUGCUGUUAGGAAACACCCCAUAAGUUGAAACUCUCCCCCUUCUCUUUUCGUACUCAGAUGUACCUAAAUUUGCAGAAUUUCUUAUUCUUCCUUAUUGAGUGACAAUUGUGCUAAUUUAGUUUCCAUGAAUGCAUGUUUGAAGACCAGAACGCAAUCAGCACUCUCUAAAUCGUAGAAUUAAAGUAGCCUUAAAGACACCGGCUGCAACUAAGAGACAAAAAAAAUAAAGACUAUAACAAGAAAAACCUAAACCUUCAUGCCAAAGGCGGCAGACAAUAGCAUGCUAAGGUAGCAGACUUGACAAAUUAUGUGUAUUUUUUUAUAUGUUAUUUAUUAGUUUGUCUAAAUUUUAAAUAUAGUUGAAGGUUAGUCUACUAAAUUGUAAGUUAUUUAAUUAUGCCAAGUUUUUUAUAAUUAUCUAGUUAUAAAAAAUUAUAAAAUAAUCAUUCAAUUAAUCACGUUA
RNAcentral lists this long non-coding RNA (7281 nucleotides) under Gossypium barbadense (sea-island cotton). RNAcentral's name for it is "long non-coding RNA (GBAR_LNC008030)". Lineage: Eukaryota; Viridiplantae; Streptophyta; Magnoliopsida; Malvales; Malvaceae. The record is from RNAcentral.